Molecule: ribosomal RNA, 399 nt
Filed under: uncultured bacterium
Lineage: Bacteria
Description: bacterial SSU rRNA
Rfam family: Bacterial small subunit ribosomal RNA
Source: RNAcentral
GAACGCUCGUAGCAAUACGGGAGUGGCAAACGGGUGAGUAACGCGUGGGAACCUGCCCAGAGGUAGGGAAUAACCGCGGGAAACUGCGGCUAAUACCCUAUGUGUCCUGAGGGACAAAGAUUUAUCGCCUUUGGAGGGGCCCGCGUCGGAUUAGGUAGUUGGUGGGGUAACGGCCUACCAAGCCAUCGAUCCGUAGCUGGUCUGAGAGGAUGAUCAGCCACACUGGGACUGAGAUACGGCCCAGACUCCUACGGGAGGCAGCAGUGGGGAAUAUUGGACAAUGGGGGCAACCCUGAUCCAGCAAUGCCGCGUGAGUGAUGAAGGCCUUCGGGUUGUAAAGCUCUUUCGGCGGGGAAGAUGAUGACGGUACCCGCAGAAGAAGCCCCGGCUAACUUCGUG